Pogoniulus pusillus (Red-fronted tinkerbird) is the source of this 387-nucleotide long non-coding RNA. RefSeq lists it as uncharacterized. The transcript is spliced from 3 exons. The record is from RefSeq and is a predicted model, not a curated record. NCBI's taxonomy places the organism in Eukaryota, Metazoa, Chordata, Aves, Piciformes, Lybiidae.
UAUGUGGUGGUUACACAUUGGCUGGAGUGAAACCAUGACAUGAGGUUUUCCUAGUUUGGUGCAAGAUGAGGAGAGACAGAGCUGAGGAUGACUAUUGAUGGAGGCCAAUAUCUAAACUGCCCCUAGAAAGCAUCCUUUUGUUCCUGUCCUGAUGUAAACUCAGCAUCCUUGCUUCCUGCUUGGCCUCCCCUGCUCUGGCUGCAAGAAGAGUAAACACAGUGGAAGGAUUUGUCCUAGCAGCAAAGCUGAACAAUUGCAGCCGUGUUGAAAUCCACAAGGUUUGGGGGUUGACUGCAGUGAUUCUGACACUAUUCCAAGGGAGCCCUGAGAUUCCCAGGAUGGGCUUGUCCCUCUAGUGGCAGCAGAAAGGAAGGCGCAGAGCUCUCC